This is a non-coding RNA of Pelobates cultripes (western spadefoot toad), 441 nucleotides long. Lineage: Eukaryota; Metazoa; Chordata; Amphibia; Anura; Pelobatidae. The record is from the annotation of a GenBank genome assembly.
AGAUCUUUGGUCUCCCCUCCGGUCCUGCAGAGCCUGCAGGGGAGAGGGAGGCACAUUUCCCGGUGCUAUGAUCACAAGAUUAUAGCACCAGGGAAAUAUCUUGCAGCAAUUUAUUGCCGGUCCAAAAAAACUUAUAUAUAAAUAAGGUAUACUAUACCGUCGGAUGAAAGCUUUCGCGGACUAGCGCUUGUUUGUGGCCUGGGGGUUGGGGACCCCUGCUCUAGACGAUAUCUCCUUCAACAUCUCUUACACUAAGAAGACUCUAUCCAAAUUGGUUUUCUGUCCUUCAUUUCCAGCAAAGUCAAAACUUUGCCCUGUUUUGUUUUUGUGAGAAUAUGAAGGUCAUACGAUCUUUCUUUUUCACCCCUUUAAGGCUCCCCUCUUUAUCUCUGUAAGUCACAUUUUCUAGUCUUAGUUUCCACUUUGGCACGAAGGAUCCAG